GAGGAUAUAGCUCAGUGGUAGAGAGCAUGCUUAGCAUACAUGAGGUCCUGGGUUCAGUCCCCAGUACCUCU
This 71-nucleotide transfer RNA is filed under the name Camelus bactrianus (Bactrian camel). It matches the Rfam family "tRNA". From Rfam's summary of the family: Transfer RNA (tRNA) molecules are approximately 80 nucleotides in length. Their secondary structure includes four short double-helical elements and three loops (D, anti-codon, and T loops). The record is from Rfam by way of RNAcentral. RNAcentral also lists the same sequence under 1 other name. Lineage: Eukaryota; Metazoa; Chordata; Mammalia; Artiodactyla; Camelidae.